UGCAAACCUCUCUGUGAGACUAACUCAUUAUAGGCAGACAAAUCCUAACUAGCAUCUAACACAGCUGUACAGGGCCCAUCAGAUGAGCAGGAUGGAUCUUUCUCAUGAAAACUAAACCAGCUUGUACAUAAUAGCUAGUACAGAACAUGUGCGUGUUUGAACAGAAGAGUGAGUCUAGGUGAGAGAGAAUUGACCGGGCACUCAAAUCAACAGUUCUUCUCCGAGCAGGAGCCUGAAGAGUGGGAGUGUAAGAUGAGAGGGCAUACUUCAGUGAAGAGCAGUGCCCUGGGAAAAGGGCAAGACGUAUGGACAGUAGUCUCUGCUUGAGGAACACUACUGCAACCUGCUGAGGAUCUGCUGGUAUGUGAUACAAAUGAUUGUGUAAUCCUUUCAUGAACUAGGUCUUGGAACUGGGAUAGAGGAUAUAAAUGAUUGCAGAAUUCUUUUCCUAAAAUGUGCUGUUGCAUGCAAACGUCACCGAGUUGAUGAAUAUGUAUUAAAGCCAUGAAGUCACUGGCAAAGCCCCAAGAAGGGCAGGCUAGCUCUCCUCUUGGAGCUAGCUCACUCCAGCUACUUUCAUUUCAUUCUUGCAUUGAAAAUUUCUCCAGGCUGCAACACCACACACUACCAACUGACAGAGAGCUGUUCCAGAGCUGCAAGCCAGGAGCAGGAUGCUCAUUAAGAGGUGGUCAUCAAACACUUUCUCAUCAAUCUCUGCAGGGCUUUUUUUUCUCAAAUACAUUGAUAAUAGGUUGCCUAUAGUAGGUUGCAUACUGAUCAGUAUGGUUCUGGCUUGCAUUUGUGAAUUUUUCUGUCCAAUAUCUCUAUAUUGGAGAGAAGCACUUGUGAAGCAUUCCUCCAUUCUUCCUUUGUUUACCAAGGGAAGAAGAAUGCUUUAUUAUUGUAUUUUCCAUCUGGGCUCUUCCCUGUUUGGGUACCAGUCCAUAAGUGAACGUCUCCCACUUAUAAUAAAUUCUGAAUGAUAUCUGUGAAAUACUGAAUUAAUAUCAUUUAUAUAAGAACAUAAUUUUGUUAGUACACAUUUUUACAUAUUUCAUGUUACCUAAACAGCACUCUUUUACCUCAGUCAUUGACAAUGGCAAACAAUACUACUGGUACCAAUGACAGCUUCUGGACCUGUUCUGGUGGCUAAUACUUUGGAGAAGUGUGUGCUGCAUAGAUUAACAAAUAUUGUAUUUUGUUUUGCAGUACAUAUAGUAUUCUAUGCUGUUAUGAUGUAAUUAGAAUGGUUAUAUUUGAAAAUAGGAGAACCGCAGAAACACCAUGGGAUAACAAAAGGCAUUAGUAGGAGGAACAAAGUUAGAUUACAUACUCAUUUGAUUUAUAUUAUCGUUAUUUUACCCUUAUGAUCAAAUGAAGAUAUUUGUAGACUCCAAGUAAUUGUGGCUAAUCUUAAUUUCCUCUCAUUCUCCUUCGUGGAUUCCAUGGUCUCAUCCCACUCACUGUGAAAUCAUCCAGUAUUUUCAUUAAAAGAAUAUUUUUUUCCUCUACUGGCUGAUACUCUGUUAUGAAAUUUAACCCACUUGGAUUUGCAAGGAGAACAUCUCAGUUUUCCAGUCCCAAAAUAAGUACUUUUGUGCCAGAGUCAACAGGAAAAGAAGACUUAGAGCAUCCAACUGACUUAGUUUCACAUUUCCCUGAUGCCCAAACAAUUGGAAAGCAGCAGGACCAAAACAUUUCAUAAAUUUCUUCCUAGGUGGUACAGACAAUAAGACAGGAUGUUUGGAUCUUUGGCCAGUCCCUACAGGAAUAUUACAACACACAGAUACUUUGUGAAUACUACACGCACAUUUGAGGCACAUUAAAACUUAACUGGACAACAUAUUAGCAAGUACACUUUAGGGAACAGUUUUGAUCUGUCAUGCAGUUGAACUGCACGAUGUAGUAGGUAUUAACACUUUCUUGUUGAGCAGCCCUGCACGUGGUGCAUCUGUUUCCUCCACCAACUUUUUUCAAUUGUCUUAGGUUGUGAAACAGGUAACCCUGUUUUUUUUCAUUGCUUUCAAUAUGAUAAUAAUAAUUGCCAAAAUAAAAAAAAGUAAAAAAAAUUCUUAGCAAGAGAGGCAGUUAAACAUAGAAAGAAAACACCAGUGGAUGACAGUGAUUUCAGUAUCAAUUCUGAGGAAAUUUAGAAAAAAAAAAAAACAAAACAACUCAGUUUGUUCAUCUAUAUUAUUCACAUAUGGUUAAAAGAAUUUUACAUUUGUGUUUCUUUUCUUUUUUCUUUUCUUUUCUUUUUUUUUUUUGUAAUUAAAAGCUAAAUAUUUCUCAGUAUCCUAUUUCUAUUUUAUAUACUAAAUAGACUUUUCUUUAGUUAUUAUUAAUCCUCAUGCUACUCUAGAAAUCUCUUUCUGCCAGGCAUUAUUACAGAUAUGAAAAACAUGUCCUAUCC
This 2413-nucleotide long non-coding RNA is filed under the name Gallus gallus (chicken). The record is from RNAcentral. Lineage: Eukaryota; Metazoa; Chordata; Aves; Galliformes; Phasianidae.